This 446-nucleotide ribosomal RNA is filed under the name uncultured bacterium. RNAcentral describes it as "partial 16S ribosomal RNA". It matches the Rfam family "Bacterial small subunit ribosomal RNA", at positions 338 to 795 of the family's 1533-position model. The record is from RNAcentral.
CCUACGGGUGACAGCAGUCGAGAAUCAUUCACAAUGGGGGAAACCCUGAUGGGGCGACGCCGCGUGGGGGAAUGAAGGUCUGCGGAUUGUAAACCCCUGUCAUGUGGGAGCAAAUUAAAAAGAUAGUACCACAAGAGGAAGAGACGGCUAACUCUGUGCCAGCAGCCGCGGUAAUACAGAGGUCUCAAGCGUUGGUCGGAAUCACUGGGCGUAAAGGGUGCGUAGGCUGUUUCGUAAGUCGUGUGUGAAAGGCGCGGGCUCAACCCGCGGACGGCACAUGAUACUGCGAGACUAGAGUAAUGGAGGGGGAACCGGAAUUCUCGGUGUAGCAGUGAAAUGCGUAGAUAUCGAGAGGAACACUCGUGGCGAAGGCGGGUUCCUGGACAUUAACUGACGCUGAGGCACGAAGGCCAGGGGAGCGAAAGGGAUUAGAUACCCUGGUAGUC